This 257-nucleotide long non-coding RNA is filed under the name Lathyrus oleraceus (garden pea). RNAcentral describes it as "Pisum sativum (pea) long non-coding RNA (PSAT_LNC015788)". Lineage: Eukaryota; Viridiplantae; Streptophyta; Magnoliopsida; Fabales; Fabaceae. The record is from RNAcentral.
UGAACCCCGAAAAUUCUUAUCUUUUUUUUUCAUUUUCUUGAACCCCGAAACUUUCUUUCACGCAAAUGAUCCCGGAUCACUGCAUUUGAACCCCGACACCUUGUUUGCCAAAAUAAUGAACCCCAUUCUCCAUUUGAACCCCAGUCGCCUGACGAUAACUUGUGAUCGCCAUUGUGAACCCCAUUCUCCAGAAGACACCGCAACAUUUCCCUUUCUCCAUUUGAACCCCGAUCUCCAGAAAAUGCCUCAACACUUCC